RNAcentral lists this ribosomal RNA (449 nucleotides) under uncultured bacterium. RNAcentral's name for it is "partial 16S ribosomal RNA". It matches the Rfam family "Bacterial small subunit ribosomal RNA", at positions 29 to 523 of the family's 1533-position model. The record is from RNAcentral.
AACGAACGCUGGCGGCAGGCUUAACACAUGCAAGUCGAACGAGAUCUUCGGAUCUAGUGGCAGACGGGUGAGGAACACGUGGGAACAUCCCUUUCAGUUCGGAAUAACGUUGGGAAACUAACGCUAAUACCGGAUACGUCCUUCGGGAGAAAGAUUUAUCGCUGAAAGAUUGGCCCGCGUCUGAUUAGCCAGUUGGUGAGGUAAUGGCUCACCAAGGCUACAAUCAGUAGCUGAUCUGAGAGGAUGAUCAGCCACAUUGGGACAGAGACACGGCCCAAACUCCUACGGGAGGCAGCAGUGGGGAAUAUUGGACAAUGGGCGCAAGCCUGAUCCAGCCAUGCCGCGUGAGUGAUGAAGGCCUUCGGGUUGUAAAGCUCUUUUAUCCGGGAAGAUAAUGACUGUACCGGAAGAAUAAGCCCCGGCAAACUUCGUGCCAGCCGCCGCGGUAA